Molecule: ribosomal RNA, 253 nt
Filed under: uncultured bacterium
Lineage: Bacteria
Description: partial 16S ribosomal RNA
Rfam family: Bacterial small subunit ribosomal RNA
Source: RNAcentral
UACAGAGGGUGCAAGCGUUGCUCGGAAUUAUUGGGCGUAAAGGGUAGGUAGGCGGUCUCAUUUGUCAGGGGUGAAAGCCUUGGGCUUAACCCAAGAAGUGCCCCUGAAACGGUGAGACUCGAGUACUGGAGAGGGUCGUGGAAUUCCCGGUGUAGCGGUGAAAUGCGUAGAGAUCGGGAGGAACACCAGAGGCGAAGGCGGCGACCUGGACAGUUACUGACACUCAACUACGAAAGCGUGGGGAGCAAACAGG